AGAUCAUCCGAGUCGUGUUCAACUCAAUCAGUCCUGUGACUCCUCACUAGGACUACCCUGGCCAAGAUUUUGCUAAAUUAAAACACGACUGUACAUAGCUCCUAAACUGGAGUGGUCAAUCCCAUCUUGACACACGCACCGACAAGUCAAGUACUUGACUACACCCAGCAGCCUUCCGUCACUGAAUUAGAAAUUCAGGUAGUCCA
RNAcentral lists this long non-coding RNA (206 nucleotides) under Elaeis guineensis (African oil palm). Its description in RNAcentral is "long non-coding RNA (EGUI_LNC079031)". The record is from RNAcentral. Lineage: Eukaryota; Viridiplantae; Streptophyta; Magnoliopsida; Arecales; Arecaceae.